RNAcentral lists this ribosomal RNA (506 nucleotides) under uncultured bacterium. Its description in RNAcentral is "partial 16S ribosomal RNA". It matches the Rfam family "Bacterial small subunit ribosomal RNA", at positions 30 to 523 of the family's 1533-position model. The record is from RNAcentral.
AUUGAACGCUGGCGGCAGGCCUAACACAUGCAAGUCGAACGGUAGCACAGGAGAGCUUGCUCUCUGGGUGACGAGUGGCGGACGGGUGAGUAAUGCAUGGGGAGCUGCCCAAUCGAGGGGGAUACCAGCUGGAAACGGCUGCUAAUACCGCAUACGCCCUGAGGGGGAAAGGUGGGGACCUUCGGGCCUACCGCGAUUGGAUGCACCCAUGUGGGAUUAGCUAGUUGGUGAGGUAACGGCUCACCAAGGCGACGAUCUCUAGCUGGUCUGAGAGGAUGACCAGCCACACUGGAACUGAGACACGGUCCAGACUCCUACGGGAGGCAGCAGUGGGGAAUAUUGCACAAUGGGGGAAACCCUGAUGCAGCCAUGCCGCGUGUGUGAAGAAGGCCUUCGGGUUGUAAAGCACUUUCAGUGGGGAGGAAGGGUUGAUGUCUAAUACGCAUCAACAUUGACGUUACCCACAGAAGAAGCACCGGCUAACUCCGUGCCAGCCGCCGCUGUAA